RNAcentral lists this ribosomal RNA (328 nucleotides) under Apoduvalius alberichae. Its description in RNAcentral is "partial 16S ribosomal RNA". The record is from RNAcentral. Lineage: Eukaryota; Metazoa; Arthropoda; Insecta; Coleoptera; Carabidae.
UUAAAUGGCUGCAGUAAUUUGACUGUACAAAGGUAGCAUAAUCAUUAGUUUUUUAAUUAAAAGCUUGUAUGAAAGGUUGGACGAAAUAAAAUCUGUCUCUUUUUAAUAUAAUUAGAAUUUAAUUUUUAAGUUAAAAAGCUUAAAUUUUUUUAAAAGACGAGAAGACCCUAUAGAGUUUUAUAAUUUUAAUUUAUUAAUUAAUUUAGAUUUAUUAAUUUUAUUUUUUUAAAAUUAUUUUAUUGGGGUAAUAGAAAGAUAAAAAAAAUUCUUUUUUUAGAAAAUCAUUAAUUUAUGAAAAUUUUAUGAUCCAUUAAAUUUUGAAUAUAAG